GAGAGAGAGAGAGAGAGAUGGAGUCGGAGAAAGUGGAAAAAGUGGUACCGGAGGUGGAGGAGCUGCCUAAGGCUAUUGUGCGUAGGGUGGUCAAGGAUAAGCUCUCCCAUUGCUCCACGGACGGCGACCUUAACGUCCACAAAGAUGCUCUCCUUGCUUUCUCCGAGAGCGCAAGAAUCUUCAUUCAUUAUCUUUCGGCUACGGCUAAUGAUAUAUGUAAGGAAUCAAAGAGGCAAACUAUCAAUGCAAAUGAUGUGUUAAAGGCGCUUGAAGAAAUUGAAUUUCCUGAGUUUGUUGGCCCUCUCAAAGCCUCCCUUGAUGGUUGAAUGAUUUGGUGCAAUGCUUUAUCAGUAUGAUACCACUUUCUCUCUUGAAUGUGAGCAGUUUGUAACUGAUGCAUGAGCUGCAAGUCUAAGAUGAGGAGUCAUCUGUUUUCUUAGGUUUCAGUCAAUUUUAAAAGAGGGGAAGAGAUGUAAUGUUGAUUGUGUAGGAAGUUGUUAUUUGUACUCUAAUUGUAUUAGUUGCCUCCAAGGAGGCAGGCUUUCCAGCACUUUUAAAUAAUAUGUGUCACUUUUUGGUCUCGAUGCCUUCUAUUUUAUCUUGAGGAAUCAAUCUCAAUUUCUCCUAUUGUUGUAUAACUUGUAUGGUACAGGGGUUUUCUUAUGUAGUGUUUAAGAAAUAUUUAUUCUAACAAUUAAUAACAUGCUUUCAUUCAGGGUAGCAUAGUAUGCCUUUUCUGAAUUCAUGAUUACCUUAACUGGUUAACUAAAGUUUUUGUUUUAACUUGAGGUCCAUAAUCCAACAUAUGAAUCUUUCAACAUUCAGUAGUUUCUGUGAAUCUUUGGUUAAUCUCUUAGACAUCUUACUGUUUUAUUCGCUUAUAUGGUAUGUUAUGGGAUCUUUUAUCAUAAAAAAAAUGUGGAAUGCCAACAUAAGAUAUAAUCUUUAGUGAUGCAAAAUUCAUGGGUUUUUGGUUUCCUUCUAGAGUUUAAGCAGAAAAAUGUUGGAAAAAAGGCAGGAGCAUCAGAGACAGGAAAGAAGGCGGCAGCAUCAGACAUGGGAAAGAAGGCAGGAGCAUCAGAGACGGG
RNAcentral lists this unclassified non-coding RNA (1088 nucleotides) under Hevea brasiliensis (rubber tree). The record is from RNAcentral. Lineage: Eukaryota; Viridiplantae; Streptophyta; Magnoliopsida; Malpighiales; Euphorbiaceae.